Lolium rigidum is the source of this 667-nucleotide long non-coding RNA. RefSeq lists it as uncharacterized. The transcript is spliced from 2 exons. The record is from RefSeq and is a predicted model, not a curated record. Lineage: Eukaryota; Viridiplantae; Streptophyta; Magnoliopsida; Poales; Poaceae.
UAGUUUAGAAUUUUUUGACAUUUCAAAAUGUGGAUUUACAUAAUGAGAGCAAAUGCUCCUAUGAGCCAAAGUGCAUUUCCCCUUUCCUACAUGCUAUAUUAUUUGUUUGCAUAUACGUAAUUUAUUUUCCAUAGUUUUGCGUGAUCGAUAUUCUUGCUCAUUGUGUCUUCUUCCCAGCUACUUCUUGGCAGGAUCACUGAAUCUUCUGUUCCUUUUGGUGUUGUGGUAUGUGGUAUGGGUUUAGAAUGGACAACCAUCGAUUUUGUGCAGCUGCCGCAACUCUCUCAUCGUUGAUAGAUCAUGUGUCAGGUUCAGCAGGCAUAACCGUGUUUAGUGUAAAGACACUGAAGCUAAUGGAGGUGAUUUCUGACUUUACAUGUACAACACCCUCAAAUCCCAAGCCAUGUACUCGCUUAAUCUGCAUAACAAGGGCGUAUGGCUAGAGCUCAGUUUUGUUAUCAAUUGCCUUUACCCACUAUUUACUCUAUGGUAUAUGUUAGUGCGUGUCUGACAUAAACAGAUGCACAAGACACUGAAGCUUUUGUGCUCCCUUUUCUUAUGCUGGCAUCCGAUUCAAUGGAGAACUGAACUAAAGUGUACUGUGUUGUUAUUAUCUCUUUCUGACAACAAUCUACGUUGUGAGCAAUUCAUACUCUUUGUUCUUUCA